This 786-nucleotide long non-coding RNA is filed under the name Equus caballus (horse). RNAcentral's name for it is "lncRNA (ENSECAG00000051722.1)". The record is from RNAcentral. Lineage: Eukaryota; Metazoa; Chordata; Mammalia; Perissodactyla; Equidae.
GAAAGCAGACUAGACUAUUUUGGGCACGGCAUGCUGUAACGAAUGGAAAAAGAGAAAUCAGAGACAGGCAGUUUUCCUCUGCCAUCUGAACGGUAAUAUGGAUGUGUCAUGCUGAAAUGAAGAGCGUGAGUUAGACGGAGGGGAACUGCUCUUGCUGCUGCAUCAAAAUUGAAGGAGGAGGAGGCUGUGGGUGUAGAGAAAUCAGUUACAGGAGAAAAUGCUCCGGCGUGGUCAGCUUGGCUUGGUGCUCUCCUAUUGGAUAGAAACAGUUUUACAAAACAUCCUGGGACCAUGAUGAAUCAAGACAAAAGCAAGACCUUCUGCAACCAUAUCUAAACAGAGGCAAAAUGUGAACACGUCCAACCUAUGAAAAUGAUCAAACAUUCCCCUCUCCUGGCUGAUAUGAAUAACUGAAGCGAGACCUGUUAAGUAAUCUUCAAACUCCUCACAAAUCCAAACCCCAAUCACCCCUCCCAGGGAGGAAGCAAAGUGUCUGAAGUCCUUCCUUUGAAAAAAAAUGUGAGCUUGUGUCUUUGGAAAAUAUGACAUCUUUCCAGGAUCACGAGUGAUUUUUAAUAAAAUUUACACUUGAAGAAUGGAAUUUUUCUCUAAGCCAAGAAAGGAGGCAAACCUAAGAGGAAAGCAUUUCACUCCACCAACACAUGGAUCUAAGCUCUGUGAGAGCAGGACUUUGUCUCAUUCAUCUCUGCCUCUCUGGCACUGACAGCAGUGUCCAGCAUAAUGCAGACUCAACCAAUAGUUGUUGAAUGAAUAAAUGAAUGUUUA